GGAGAAUUUGCCAAACGCAGUAGUGCCUGACUCGUUACGGACACCAGGGUGACUGACGCACGCUGUGUCCGAAGCCCGUCUGCAUUUCUGGGAGAACGAGCCCCACAUCACUAUGCGCCCGGGUGGUCGCAGUCGGAAGCAAGACCGAGUGAGGCCAAGACAAAGACUAAAUAGCCCUCUGAUUGGUGCUCGGACAACAGCGUUUUAGUGAGAUUGUAAAGACAGACCUCAAAGUUGGAUGGCUGCGGUGAACGCCAGUGUCUUUGAUGGAAGCCAUGGAGGAGCCAAGCUCACAGCUGCCUUUUUUGACAGCUGCUGCAGAAGGAGGUCCAGUAAUCCACUGAUGUCUCCGGUAAGAGCCGACUUAAUAUCAACAUUUUUCCAUCCAAAAACAUGCUGGUUGAUGUAGAGAAACAUGUUCUCUUGACCGCUCUGUGUUAAAGCUUCACAACAAACAAAGAAACACCGGCUGUGUCUCGGUGCUAAAGGCAGCUGCAAUCCACCGCUUUCCACCAACAGCAUUCUUCUUUAUAGUCUGCAUAAAAAUUGGUCUUUUUAGUUUACGGACUUUU
Nerophis ophidion (straightnose pipefish) is the source of this 572-nucleotide long non-coding RNA. RefSeq lists it as uncharacterized. The transcript has 3 exons. Lineage: Eukaryota; Metazoa; Chordata; Actinopteri; Syngnathiformes; Syngnathidae. The record is from RefSeq and is a predicted model, not a curated record.